ACAGAGGGUGCGAGCGUUAAUCGGAAUUACUGGGCGUAAAGCGCGCGUAGGCGGCUUCGCAAGUCGGGUGUGAAAUCCCCAGGCUUAACCUGGGAACUGCAUUCGAGACUGCAUUGCUAGAGUAUGGGAGAGGGAAGUGGAAUUUCAGGUGUAGCGGUGAAAUGCGUAGAUAUCUGAAGGAACAUCAGUGGCGAAGGCGGGUUGCUGGGCUGACACUGACGCUGAUGCGCGAAAGCUAGGGGAGCGAACGGGA
Molecule: ribosomal RNA, 253 nt
Filed under: uncultured prokaryote
Description: partial 16S ribosomal RNA
Rfam family: Bacterial small subunit ribosomal RNA
Source: RNAcentral